This 72-nucleotide transfer RNA is filed under the name Camelus bactrianus (Bactrian camel). It matches the Rfam family "tRNA". From Rfam's summary of the family: Transfer RNA (tRNA) molecules are approximately 80 nucleotides in length. Their secondary structure includes four short double-helical elements and three loops (D, anti-codon, and T loops). The record is from Rfam by way of RNAcentral. RNAcentral also lists the same sequence under 1 other name. Lineage: Eukaryota; Metazoa; Chordata; Mammalia; Artiodactyla; Camelidae.
GAGGGUCUAGCUCAGUGAUAGCGUGUCUGCUUGGCAUGCAGGAAGCCCUGGGUUCAAUCCUCAGUACCUCCA